CUACAGGCUUAACACAUGCAAGUCGAGGGGAAACUGACAUCGAAAGCUUGCUUUUGAUGGGCGUCGACCGGCGCACGGGUGAGUAACGCGUAUCCAACCUGCCCCACGGUGAGGGAUAACCCGCGGAAACGCGGCCUAAUACCUCAUGGUCUCCGAGCUUGCCAUCAACCUUGGAGUAAAGAUUCAUUGCCGUGGGAUGGGGAUGCGUCUGAUUAGCUUGUUGGCGGGGCAACGGCCCACCAAGGCAACGAUCAGUAGGGGUUCUGAGAGGAAAGCCCCCCACAUUGGAACUGAGACACGGUCCAAACUCCUACGGGAGGCAGCAGUGAGGAAUAUUGGUCAAUGGGCGAGAGCCUGAACCAGCCAAGUAGCGUGCAGGAUGACGGCUCUAUGGGUUGUAAACUGCUUUUAUAAGGGAAUAAAGUGAGUCUCGUGAGACUUUUUGCAUGUACCUUAUGAAUAAGGACCGGCUAAUUCCGUGCCAGCAGCCGCGGUAAUACGGAAGGUCCGGGCGUUAUCCGGAUUUAUUGGGUUUAAAGGGAGCGUAGGCCGGAGAUUAAGCGUGUUGUGAAAUGUAGAGGCUCAACCUCUGCACUGCAGCGCGAACUGGUCUUCUUGAGUACGCACAACGUGGGCGGAAUUCGUGGUGUAGCGGUGAAAUGCUUAGAUAUCACGAAGAACUCCGAUUGCGAAGGCAGCUCACGGGAGCGCAACUGACGCUGAAGCUCGAAAGUGCGGGGAGCAAAUAGGAUUAGAUACCCUAGUAGUCCACGCCGUAAACGAUCGAUACUAAGUGUCGGGAGUCAUAUCCCGGUGCUGCAGUCAACGCAAUAAGUAUCGCGCCUGAGUAGUACGUUCGCAAGAAUGAAACUCAAAGGAAUUGACGGGGGCCCGCACAAGCGGUGGAGCAUGUGGUUUAAUUCGAAGCAACGCGAAGAACCUUACCAGGUCUUGACAUCGAUCUAAAAGGGAGAGAGAUCUCCUCAUAGCUAUAGAGAAGACAGGUGGUGCAUGGUUGUCGUCAGCUCGUGUCGUGAGAUGUUGGGUUAAGUCCCGCAACGAGCGCAACCCCUGUCGCCAGUUGCCAGCAUUGAGUUGGGGACUCUGGCGAGACUGCCUCUGCAAGGAGGAGGAAGGCGGGGAUGACGUCAAAUCAUCAUGCCCCUUAUGACCUGGGCCACACACGUGCUACAAUGGACGGAGCAGAGGGAAGCGAGACCGCGAGGUUGAGCAGAGCCCAGAAACCCGUUCUCAGUUCGGACUGCAGUCUGCAACUCGACUGCACGAAGCUGGAAUCGCUAGUAAUCGAGGAUCGGCAUGCCGCGGUGAAUACGUUCUCGG
Molecule: ribosomal RNA, 1341 nt
Filed under: uncultured bacterium
Lineage: Bacteria
Description: partial 16S ribosomal RNA
Rfam family: Bacterial small subunit ribosomal RNA
Source: RNAcentral